UAGGGAAUCUUCCGCAAUGGGCGAAAGCCUGACGGAGCAACGCCGCGUGAGUGAUGAAGGUCUUCGGAUCGUAAAACUCUGUUAUUAGGGAAGAACAAAUGUGUAAGUAACUAUGCACGUCUUGACGGUACCUAAUCAGAAAGCCACGGCUAACUACGUGCCAGCAGCCGCGGUAAUACGUAGGUGGCAAGCGUUAUCCGGAAUUAUUGGGCGUAAAGCGCGCGUAGGCGGUUUUUUAAGUCUGAUGUGAAAGCCCACGGCUCAACCGUGGAGGGUCAUUGGAAACUGGAAAACUUGAGUGCAGAAGAGGAAAGUGGAAUUCCAUGUGUAGCGGUGAAAUGCGCAGGGAUAUGGAGGAACACCAGUGGCGAAGGAGACUUUCUGGUCUGUAACUGACGCUGAUGUGCGAAAGCGUGGGGAUCAAACAGG
Molecule: ribosomal RNA, 429 nt
Filed under: Actinomycetes bacterium
Lineage: Bacteria; Bacillati; Actinomycetota; Actinomycetes
Description: Actinobacteria bacterium partial 16S ribosomal RNA
Rfam family: Bacterial small subunit ribosomal RNA
Source: RNAcentral